CCUACGGGAGGCAGCAGUGAGGAAUAUUGGUCAAUGGACGAGAGUCUGAACCAGCCAAGUAGCGUGAAGGAUGACUGCCCUAUGGGUUGUAAACUUCUUUUAUAUGGGAAUAAAAUGUUCCACGUGUGGGAUUUUGUAUGUACCAUAUGAAUAAGGACCGGCUAACUCCGUGCCAGCAGCCGCGGUAAUACGGAGGAUCCGAGCGUUAUCCGGAUUUAUUGGGUUUAAAGGGAGCGUAGGUGGAUUGUUAAGUCAGUUGUGAAAGUUUGCGGCUCAACCGUAAAAUUGCAGUUGAAACUGGCAGUCUUGAGUACAGUAGAGGUGGGCGGAAUUCGUGGUGUAGCGGUGAAAUGCUUAGAUAUCACGAAGAACUCCGAUUGCGAAGGCAGUUCACUGGACUGCAACUGACACUGAGGCUCGAAGGUGUGGGUAUCAAACAGGAUUAGAUACCCUUGUAGUC
Molecule: ribosomal RNA, 460 nt
Filed under: uncultured bacterium
Lineage: Bacteria
Description: partial 16S ribosomal RNA
Rfam family: Bacterial small subunit ribosomal RNA
Source: RNAcentral